RNAcentral lists this ribosomal RNA (206 nucleotides) under uncultured bacterium. RNAcentral describes it as "partial 16S ribosomal RNA". It matches the Rfam family "Bacterial small subunit ribosomal RNA", at positions 1296 to 1500 of the family's 1533-position model. The record is from RNAcentral.
GAUUGAAGGCUGAAAUUCGUCCUUCAUGAAGCUGGAAUUGCUAGUAAUGGCAGGUCAGCAUACUGCCGUGAAUACGUUCCCGGGCCUUGUACACACCGCCCGUCACACCAUGAGAGUUGGAAAUACCCGAAGCCUGUGAGCUAACUGUAAAGAGGCAGCAGUCGAAGGUAGAGCCAAUGAUUGGGGUGAAGUCGUAACAAGGUACC